RNAcentral lists this transfer RNA (78 nucleotides) under Bacillus sp. PK3_68. Its description in RNAcentral is "tRNA-OTHER". The record is from RNAcentral. Lineage: Bacteria; Bacillati; Bacillota; Bacilli; Caryophanales; Bacillaceae.
GUUCCACAAUAGCUCAAUGGGAGAGCAAUAAAUUUACACGUAUAAGUUGACUGUUAGAGGUUCGAAUCCUCUGGGAUA